UGAAUACGAGACGCUAAGGCGUCGAAGUAGUGUAUGUCAUACUUCCAAGAAAAGCUUGCACUGUCAUAGAUAAAAAACGCCUGUACCAUAACCGACACAGGUGGGUAGGUAGAGUAUACUAGGGGCGCGAGAUAACUCUCUCUAAGGAACUCGGCAAAAUAACUCCGUAACUUCGGGAGAAGGAGUGCCUUAUUCGUAAGGUUGCAAUAACAAGAUCCAAGCAACUGUUUAUCAAAAACACAGGUCUCCGCUAAGUCGUAAGACGAUGUAUGGGGGCUGACGCCUGCCCAGUGCCAGAAGGUUAAAGAAGUUGGUUAGCAAUUGCGAAGCUGAUAACUGAAGCCCUGGUGAACGGCGGCCGUAACCAUAACGGUCCUAAGGUAGCGAAAUUCCUUGUCGGGUAAGUUCCGACCCGCACGAAAGGCGUAAUGAUUUGGAUACUGUCUCGGAGAGGGGCUCGGUGAAAUAGACUUGUCUGUGAAGAUGCGGACUACCUGCACCAGGACAGAAAGACCCUAUGAAGCUUUACUGUAACUUGAAAUUGAAAUUGGACUUUAUUCGCGCAGUAUAGGUGGGAGGCGUUGAUUAUAAUCUUGUGGGAUUAUUGGAGCCAUCAGUGAGAUACCACUCUUAUAAUGUUAGAUUUCUAACUUUGAAUCAUUAUCUGGUCAAAGAACAGUUUCAGGCGGGCAGUUUGACUGGGGCGGUCGCCUCCUAAACGGUAACGGAGGCGUACAAAGGUUUCCUCUGAACGGUUAGAAAUCGUAUCUAGAGUGUAAAGGCAUAAGGAAGCUUGACUGUGAGACCUACAAGUCGACAGGGACGAAAGUCGGUCUUAGUGAUCUGACGGUACUGAGUGGAAAGGCCGUCACUCAACGGGUAAAAGUUACUCUAGGAUAACAGGCUGAUCUCCCCCAAGAGUUCACAUCGACGGGGAGGUUUGGCACCUCGAUGUCGGCUCAUCGCAUCCUGGGGCGGUAGUACGUCCCAAGGGUUGGGCUGUUCGCCCAUGAAAGCGGUACGCGAGCUGGGUUCAGAACGUCGUGAGACAGUUCGGUCCAUAUCCGGUGUAGGCGUUAGAAUAUUGAGAGGAGCCUUCUUUAGUACGAGAGGACCGAGAAGGACAUACCUCUGGUGUACCAGUUAUCGUGCCAACGGUAAACGCUGGGUAGCUAUGUAUGGAGUGGAUAACCGCUGAAAGCAUCUAAGUGGGAAGCCCACCUCAAGAUAAGUAUUCUCAUC
RNAcentral lists this ribosomal RNA (1242 nucleotides) under metagenome. Its description in RNAcentral is "bacterial LSU rRNA". It matches the Rfam family "Bacterial large subunit ribosomal RNA", at positions 1564 to 2818 of the family's 2925-position model. The record is from RNAcentral.